This 145-nucleotide unclassified non-coding RNA is filed under the name uncultured Helotiaceae. RNAcentral describes it as "sequence contains ITS2". Lineage: Eukaryota; Fungi; Ascomycota; Leotiomycetes; Helotiales; Helotiaceae. The record is from RNAcentral.
UAACCAAUCAAGCCCAGCUUGGUGUUGGGGUUCGCGGCUUCCGCGGCCCUUAAAAUCACUGGCGGCGCCAUCUGGCUCUAAGCGUAGUAAUUAUCCUCGCUACAGAGUCCUCUUGGAGGCUUGCCAAUAACCUAACUUCUCACGG